Molecule: ribosomal RNA, 482 nt
Filed under: uncultured bacterium
Lineage: Bacteria
Description: partial 16S ribosomal RNA
Rfam family: Bacterial small subunit ribosomal RNA
Source: RNAcentral
AAUGAACGUUGGCGGCGUGGAUUAGGCAUGCAAGUCGAGCGAGAACCGUAGCAAUACGGGGACAGCGGCGAGAGGGACAGUAAUGUGUAGGUACAUAUCCCCGGGUUCGGGAUAGCUGCGGGAAACUGCAGGUAAUACCGAAUAAUGUCUUCGGACCAAAGGUGUGAUUCCACCUGGGGAGGGGCCUGCUUCCUAUUAGCGUGAUGGUGGGGUAACGGCUUACCAAGGCGACGAUGGGUAGCGGGUGUGAGAGCAUGACCCGCGUCAUUGGGACUGAGACACUGCCCAGACACCUACGGGUGGCUGCAGUCGAGGAUCUUCGGCAAUGGGCGCAAGCCUGACCGAGCGACGCCGCGUGCGGGAUGAAGGCCUUCGGGUUGUAAACCGCUGUCGUAGAGGAGGAAAUGCAGGAGGGUUCUCCCUUCUGUUUGACCUAUUCUAGGAGGAAGUACGGGCUAAGUUCGUGCCAGCCGCCGCCGUAA